GACGAACGCUGGCGGCGUGCUUAACACAUGCAAGUCGAGCGGUAAGGCCCUUUCGGGGGUACACGAGCGGCGAACGGGUGAGUAACACGUGGGUGACCUGCCCUCAGCUCUGGGGAUAAGCCCUGGGAAACCGGGUCUAAUACCGGAUAUGACUCCAUGACGCAUGUUGUGGGGUGGAAAGCCUUGUGCGGCUGAGGAUGGGCCCGCGGCCUAUCAGCUUGUUGGUGGGGUGAUGGCCUACCAAGG
This 246-nucleotide ribosomal RNA is filed under the name uncultured bacterium. RNAcentral describes it as "partial 16S ribosomal RNA". It matches the Rfam family "Bacterial small subunit ribosomal RNA", at positions 28 to 273 of the family's 1533-position model. The record is from RNAcentral.